Molecule: non-coding RNA, 48 nt
Filed under: Schistosoma haematobium
Lineage: Eukaryota; Metazoa; Platyhelminthes; Trematoda; Strigeidida; Schistosomatidae
Source: RNAcentral
AUGCAGCUGACGAGUGCCGAAUAGGACGAAAUGUACAUCAAACUGGAU